CUCCUACGGGAGGCAGCAGUGGGGAAUCUUAGACAAUGGGCGCAAGCCUGAUCUAGCCAUGCCGCGUGAGUGAUGAAGGCCUUAGGGUCGUAAAGCUCUUUCGCCAGGGAUGAUAAUGACAGUACCUGGUAAAGAAACCCCGGCUAACUCCGUGCCAGCAGCCGCGGUAAUACGGAGGGGGUUAGCGUUGUUCGGAAUUACUGGGCGUAAAGCGUACGUAGGCGGAUCAGAAAGUUAGGGGUGAAAUCCCGGGGCUCAACCCCGGAACUGCCUCUAAAACUCCUGGUCUUGAGUUCGAGAGAGGUAAGUGGAAUUCCGAGUGUAGAGGUGAAAUUCGUAGAUAUUCGGAGGAACACCAGUGGCGAAGGCGGCUUACUGGCUCGAUACUGACGCUGAGGUACGAAAGUGUGGGGAGCAAACAGGAUUAGAUACCCUGGUAGUCCACACCGUAAACGAUGAAUGCCAGUCGUCGGCAAGCAUGCUUGUCGGUGACACACCUAACGGAUUAAGCAUUCCGCCUGGGGAGUACGGUCGCAAGAUUAAAACUCAAAGGAAUUGACGG
This 562-nucleotide ribosomal RNA is filed under the name uncultured bacterium. Its description in RNAcentral is "bacterial SSU rRNA". It matches the Rfam family "Bacterial small subunit ribosomal RNA", at positions 336 to 916 of the family's 1533-position model. The record is from RNAcentral.